UGGUGUUAGAGGACCUGCCCCAGGUCA
This 27-nucleotide non-coding RNA is filed under the name Homo sapiens (human). Lineage: Eukaryota; Metazoa; Chordata; Mammalia; Primates; Hominidae. The record is from RNAcentral.